This 940-nucleotide long non-coding RNA is filed under the name Capsicum annuum. RNAcentral's name for it is "long non-coding RNA (CANN_LNC002213)". The record is from RNAcentral. Lineage: Eukaryota; Viridiplantae; Streptophyta; Magnoliopsida; Solanales; Solanaceae.
UCAAUAUCGUUAUUUGAUGAAGCUGCUUCAUCAUCAUUAACUUGAAAGGUCAAGUGUGCUUCCACAUCAUUUUCUUUCCUUUUAAGGAAAGCUUGAUAAAGUUUGACAAAAUGAUCAGGCGUACGACAAGCACGUGUCCAAUGUCCUUUCAUACCACAUCAGUGACAAAUAUUAAUUUUACCUUUUGAAAGAUUAUUUUGAGAACCUUUAUUAUUCUCUUGUUCAUUUCCACCAUUAUGACGAUAAUUAUUUAGCCCUCUGCUACGUCCUCACCCACGUCCACGACCAUGGCCUUGACCACGGCCGCGAUAAUAAUUUUGCCUUAAUACAGACUGAUUAUGCGCUGCUACAACAUUCACUUCAGGGAAUGAAGCAGAUCCAGUGGGACGAGCUUCAUGAUUUUUCAUUAACAAAGUAUUAUUCUGCUUUGCCACAAGUAUGCAUGUAAUCAAUUCAAAGUAUUUCUUAAAUCUCUUUUCACGAUAUUGCUAUUGUAGCAAUACAUUAGAAGCAUGAAAAAUGGAAAAAGUUUUCUUUAGUAAGUCCUCAUCAGUGAUGGUUUCUCCACAUAAUCUUAAUAUUGAACUUACUUUAUGAAUAGCAGAAUUAUACCCAACCACGAUUUUAAAAUCUUGAAACCGAAGGUGUAUCCAGUCAUAUUUAGCUUUCGGUAAUACCUUCAAUUUUAGGUGGUGAUAUCGGUCCUUCAAGUUGGUCCAUAAUUCGAGUGGAUCUUUCACAGUUAAAUAUUCAGUUUUUAAUCCUUCGUGGAGGUGAUGACGAAGAAAAAUCAUAGCUUUCGCCUUAUCUUGACUAGAUGCGUUAUUUUCUUGUUUAAUAGUAUCCCCAAGACCUCUAGCAUCAGGGUGAAUUUCAGCAUCAAGGACCUAUGAUAAAUAAUUCUUUCUGGUAAGGUCCAGUGCCACAAACUCAAGUUUCG